RNAcentral lists this ribosomal RNA (429 nucleotides) under uncultured archaeon. Its description in RNAcentral is "bacterial SSU rRNA". It matches the Rfam family "Archaeal small subunit ribosomal RNA", at positions 1 to 398 of the family's 1478-position model. The record is from RNAcentral.
UUCGCCCUUUUCCGGUUGAUCCCGCCGGACCCCACUGCUAUCGAGAUGGGACUAAGCCAUGCUAGUCGAACGACCCGAACUAUGGCGGGAAGUGGCACACUGCUCAGUAACACGUAGCUAACCUACCCUUCGGACGGGUACAACCCCGGGAAACUGAGGUUAAUACCCGAUAGGUGUGGAAACCUGGAAUGGUACCACGCCCAAACGUAACACACCCAUGUGUGUGUCUAUGCCGAAGGAUGGGGCUGCGGCCGAUCAGGCAGUUGGUGAGGUAACGGCUCACCAAACCUUUGACCGGUACGGGCCAUGAGAGUGGUAGCCCGGAGAUGGGCACUGAGACAAGGGCCCAGGCCCUACGGGGCGCAGCAGGCGCGAAACCUCCACAAUUCACGAAAGUGAGAUGGGGCUAUCUCGAGUGCCGCCUGAUGA